Biomphalaria glabrata is the source of this 4131-nucleotide long non-coding RNA. RefSeq lists it as uncharacterized. The transcript has 2 exons. NCBI's taxonomy places the organism in Eukaryota, Metazoa, Mollusca, Gastropoda, Planorbidae. The record is from RefSeq and is a predicted model, not a curated record.
UAUAUAUAUAUAUAUAUAUAUAUAUAUAUAUAUAUAUAUAUAUAUAUAUAUAUAUAUAUAUAUAUAUAUAUAUAUAUAUAUCGUGUAUAGUUUAUUUAUUUAAAUACCUAUAUAAUCUAUGUGUAGAAACAGACAGAAAUAAAUUUAUAUAGAUUAUAGAGCUAUAAAUUAAUUAUUUUAAUUUAAUAAACAUGAUAUUUUCUACUAGGCUACUUGUAUUUUCUCUGUCUUUCUUUUAACUCCCAUCCAAGGACCCUCUUCUUGUUUUCAUAAUUUGGAUGUUCGUUUUGUGACACCUUAACAUCCCCUCCCUCCCAUAGAUGCUUAUAAUUCUUUUCAUGACUCUCUCCCCCUUCCCUCCACUGCCUGUUGGAUAGUUUGUGACACUACUCGCUGAGUGUAUACCUCUCCUUACCGCCAGCUUAUCUUGCGUGAUCACAUGCAGUGGGCAUGGUCUCUGGCUUCAAAUUAGCAGCCCACACUUUUUCUUUCAUUCAUAAGUUAUAUAUUCUAGAUAUCUCUAUCUAGGUCAUGUUUAUUCAUUGAAAAAAUCAUAGAUUUAUUAAUCCCAAUAAUAUUUCUUAAUACGAUUUUGCUGUGUUCAAAAAGGAGAAUGAGCUGAAUUCAUUAUUAUUUGUUUGGACACCCCCUUUUUUAAUUUUAUUUAACAGCUAACGGUAUAAAUGUGAUUGGAAUGUCUUUCUAAAGAUGUUUGGAAGCUUAUUUUGAUAUGCCCAUCAGCCUACGAUCAAACAGGCUCAUGAUAUAGCCUUCAUCCCUUAUAUGGGUAUGAAUUGCCGGGGGAGGUUAAAACAACAGCUUAACAUACAUGGUUACCGAGAAUCUAAAUAACUGCCAUCUGCUUUGGAAAAACGGAACAAAAUUACCAGAACUUAUCUAAAAUUGGACAUGCUCAGUUCCGAAUCGUCGAUUUUAGCUCCAAACAUAAAAACAAAUGAAUUACAAACAAAAAAAAGCGACCCGUUUAGAAAGGAGAAUCCGAUGGGGUGUUCAAACUAUAAGAGCCUCCUCUAGGUCUGGGGACUAAAUUGAUAUGUGUGUGCAAUCUACAGCUAAUGAGUGUAUGAAGAUAGUAUUAGAACUUGGUAAAGGACAAAAUUUUUCAUAGAAUUACAAUGUAAGCAACUUAUAAUUUAUAAAAAGUAAAUGUGUUUUAACAAUUACUUUCAAAUGUUUUUUCAAUAAGAGCUCUUUUUUUCUUUUGUUUUACACAAAAUUUCCACCAAAAUCUGGCCAAAUGUUGAGUUACAUAAAUUUAAAUUCAAUAUCAUUUUUUUUUUCAUUAACUAAAAAUUAUAAGAAAUUACUUUCAAAAGUUAUAAAUAUGUUGUUUUUUUUUCCAACCACAGUAUCAUUUUGCGAGCUAUCAAUAGAUCCAUGAUUACCAGCAAGCUGUGUUCAUGUAGAUGUCACGAGAUGAGCAAGCACAAAAUUUGUUCUACAGAUUUUAUGUUUUAUCAUUUUGCUUUUAUUUUCCUAGGAAUGAUUGCGAAAAAAAAAAAGAAUAUUAGGUCCUAAACAAUAUAAUGGUCAUAUAAUGAUAAAUAAUCAAAUCAUUUUAUCUUCAUAAAUUUCAUACAUUUUUUUACAUAUUAUAUGUCUAAAGCUGUUUUUGAUGUUAUUUGAACCUGUAUAAUAGGUUCAACUGGUGCACAUUUUCUACUCUAUUCAAGAGUUAAAAUAAGAUUUUGUGACCCAGAGCUUGUUACAUUAGAGAUAACAAUGGUUUUGAAGGCUCAGUAAGGCACACUGGUAACAAGAAAUUUUUAAAAGUUCUUAUAAGUAGUAUGUCAACAUGUCAAGAAAAAACAAUAUAAUGCAUAUCCUCUGAAACCAUCCAAAAAAUAUGAAUGCACAGAUCCUCCAAAAUUUAUGACAAAAUAAUAUUUGUACAGGUACCCUAUUUAAUAAUUAUUUGAUCUAGCCUAACUAAAUAUCAAAACAGGUUCAUCAUACCUUUCUUUCUAUGCUUAAAACAAAAAAGUUGGAAAUAAAAAAUCUGUAUUUUUCUGUGUUUAUGGUCAGUCCCAGGUUUUAUUAAACUUUACAAUAUUCCCUACCACGUUGGCCUCCAAGGCCUGAUUUUACUUAAAUCAUUAUUUACAUAAUUUAAAACAACUCCUGUACACUUAAUGCAAAUUUUCACAUAAAAAGAUGAAAUCAACCUAUAAGAUAAAAUAUAGUUGUAAAAAAAAAUGUAUGAACAAUUAAAAAAAAAAGACAAUGAAAUGAAAAAAAACUAACCCUUUCAUUCAUUCACAUACUAAAAAUCCCCAAUAACCACUUUGCUAUUUACAUAUUGAACAAGCUCCACAACCAAAUGAAUAAUGUUUUAGAAGUUGAAGUGCAACAAAUUUAUAUACAUAUUUUUUACGGGAAAUAUGUAAAAUUGUACAAUGAAUAAUUGAACAAGAAAAACAAAUUUAAUGAAGGAAAUUUUUGGUAGAUUUUUCUUACAGAAAAAAAAUAUUCAAAUUAGAGUUGGGCAUUAACACUGACAUAGUCCCAUCAAAUAAAAAAUCUUAUUUUUUUAAAUUUUUUAUUUAAACAAGAUAAAGUAAAAAAUACUUUUUAAAAGAAAAUCAAAGCUUAUAAUAAAUGUAGUUGUAUCACUUAGUUUGGAUGAGUCAUGUAAUUAAAUUUGUAAUAGAUCUAGACUAACAAUAGUAAGUCUGUGCGAUUAGAAAUAUUUUUACCAACUGUUUUUUGUUUAGCACAAUUUCAUGCAUUCAGCACAAUGUGAAUUUGAGCUCUGGGCUCAAGUCCCCUUAAGGGGACUAAUUCCUAAUUCAAAUUAUACUACCACAUCUGUUGAUUACAAUUUCUUUCCCUUUUUUGAUACCAAACAAAAUAAUAAAUUACCGGUACCAAUAGUUAAUUAAAUUGGUUAAUUUAAAAAAAAAAUGAUUAUUGUUUCUUUCAGGUAUUAGAAAUAAUUGUGCAAAAUUUAAACUUGAUCCAAGAUUGGGUGUGGGAAAAAUAACUUGCACAGACAGACUGAGCUUUGGAAAAAAAUACAUUCUUAUGAAUCGUUAAGUUCAGUUUUACCAGUACUAAUAAUAGACCUAAAACUACUAAUAAAUCAAUUUUCAAAUUCAUUUGCCUAAACAUGUUCACGUUAAAACAGAUGGUAAAAAAAAUAUUUUUUUUCCAAAACAAAAACAAAAUUAAUCUAAUUAACUACUAAUUACUAAUAAGAUUAGUAACAAACUGUAAAAUUUAUCUGCUCAUUUAAUGUUGAUCAACAGAAAUGACAUAUCUUAAAAUUGCAACAGAAAUCAGAUCACCAAUGAAAUGAUCUCCCUGGGAAUCAAGAGAAAUUAUGUCAAAUUUACAUUCUUUUGCAUUACCUUCCCACAUUGGUCAAACAUAUGACCAUAAUGGAUGACUCUGAAACCAGCAUAUGUUGUUGAAAUUAAAAUGGAUUGAUUUUGCUAUGUUUACUUUGCUGUGCUAAAACUGGACAUUCACCUAAAUAAACCUCUAGAUCAGUGGUGAAACCCAGCACAACCUAACCAGUUACAGAGCUAAAUAUUUCUUACAGAGUCUUAGCACUUGUUGCCAUUAACUCUGGUGUAACUGUUUUUCAGUAAUUUCCAAAAUGGCAGCUAAGCCGGUGUACCAGUUUUUUCGGUACUUGACAAUUUGAUGCUAAAAAUGAGUCAGAAUCUAAAAAUAACCAAUCAUAAUGAAACCACAAGUUUAGCUUUGCAAAAUGGCUGCGCCCAUGUGUUUACAUUGAAUUGGUGUGUUUUUACAAGAAAAUUGUCUGAAAGUUGAAAGAUACUGUGAGAGAUCGAUUGAUAAGAAAACAUCUUGAUUUUCAUUAGAUUUAGACAGUUUAUUGGGGCAGGGGGAGGUAGGGUUAACCAUAAAUACACUUUCUCUCUUCUAAAUGUGACCUAAAAUAUUAAAAUGACUCUUAUAAUUUACAAAUAAACUUUAAUAGAAUUAGUCAAUUUUCUAGACAUGUUUGCCCAAGCUUCUAAGUUGCAGCUAAAUUUUAAUUCCUUGAGCCUUUUUUUAAAUGGUUAAAUUAAAAGUAUGUGUUAAUGAUCUUACUAAACAAUAAACCUUAUACUACCACAAAAAUGAAAUACUUAUUAUGCA